Molecule: ribosomal RNA, 3018 nt
Filed under: Planctomycetota bacterium
Lineage: Bacteria; Pseudomonadati; Planctomycetota
Description: 23S ribosomal RNA
Rfam family: Bacterial large subunit ribosomal RNA
Source: RNAcentral
GGUCAAGCUACUAAGAGUAAGCGGUGGAUGCCUUGGCGCUGAGAGGCGAUGAAGGACGUGGGGUAGCUGCGAAAAGCCUCGGGGAGCCGCGUACCAGGCUUUGAUCCGGGGAUUUCCGAAUGGGGCAACCUGUCGUGGGUCAUGCCGCGACAUCCGUAUCUGAAUGCAUAGGGUACGGAGGCGAACGGAGAGAAUUGAAACAUCUUAGUACCUCCGGGAAAGGAAAGAAACCUCGACUUCCCCAGUAGCGGCGAGCGAAAAGGAAGUAGCCCAAACCGGGUAUCUGUAAGCACGCAUGCGUUGGGUGCCCGGGGUCGUGGGAAAUGCCUCGUCGGGAUGCGGACCGGCGAAGGAGUUACAAAAGUCUCUUCUAGCCUAAUCGUCUGGAAAGGCGAGCCAAAGAAGGUGAUAGGCCUGUGGGCGAAAGAAGCAGACUCUCCUGGCGUUUUCCCAAGUAGCGCCAGUCUCGUGAAACCUGGCGUGAAUUCGGGGGGACCACCCCCCAAGGCUAAGUACUUCUCAGCGACCGAUAGUGCACGUAGUAGCGUGAGUGAAAGGUGAAAAGAACCCCUUUUAGGGGAGUGAAAUAGACCCUGAAACCGCUUACUUACAAACUGUCGGAGCCCUAUGCCGACUUCGGUCGGAACGGGUGACGGCGUGCCUUUUGCUUAAUGAACCUGCGAGUUGCUGUGGGCAGCAAGGUUAAGCCCUUAAGGGGCGGAGCCAUAGCGAAAGCGAGUGCGAAAUGCGCGAUUCAGUUGUCCGCAGCAGACCCGAAAACGAGCGAUCUAACCAUGGCCAGGCUGAAGCGGGUGUAAGAGCCCGUGGAGGGCCGAACGCACCUAGGUUGAAAACUGGGGCGAUGAGCUGUGGUUCGGAGCAAAAAACUAAUCGAGCUCGGUUAUAUCUGGUUCUCCCCGAAAUAGCUUUAGGGCUAGCCUUGCGUAAUAGGCAGUGGGGGUAGAGAGACUGAAUGGGUUUGGGGGUCCACCAGACUACCCUGCCCAACCAAACUCCGAAUACCAUUGUCCGUAUCGCGGGAGUCAGACUACGGGGGAUAAGCUCCGUGGUCGAGAGGGAAACAGCCCAGACCGCCGGCUAAGGUCCCUAAUCCAAGCUAAGUGACUAAGGAAGUGAGGAUGCACAGACAGCCAGGAUGUUGGCUUAGAAGCAGCCAUCAUUUAAAAAGUGCGUAAUAGCUUACUGGUCGAGCAUUCUUGCGCCGAUAAUUCACGGGACUAAGCUUGGUACCGAAGCCGCGGGUUGUCGAUAUCUUCGGAUGUCGGCAGCGGUAGGGGAGCGUUCCACGCUAGGUUGAAGGGGUACCGUAAGGAGCCCUGGACGAUGUGGAAGUGAUUAUGCAGGUAUGAGUAGCGAUAAAAGAAGUGAGAAUCUUCUUCGCCGAAAGCCUAAGGUUUCCUGGGGAAGGUAAAUCCGCCCAGGGUGAGUCGGUCCCUAAGGCGAGGCCGAAAGGCGUAGUCGAUGGAUAGCAGGUAAAUAUUCCUGCACCACCUGGCUUGCGUUUGUACGACGUGGUGACGGAGAUAAGAAGGUCAUCGCACGAUUGAAAAUGUGCGUUUCUAAUCUGAGGGUGAGCUGUAGGAAAAUCCGCAGCACCAAAGCCCAGGGGUUGGAUCGAGUCCACCUGACGAGACUAAGUGACCGGAAUGUCUUCCAAGAAAAGCCUCUAAGGAGCCCCUUCGGGGGCGCGUCGGUCAGGUGACCGUACUAAAACUGACACAGGUAGGCGAGAUGAGUAUUCUCAGGCGCUCGGGAGAACCCUGGUUAAGGAACUCGGCAAAAUAGCCCCGUAACUUCGGGAGAAGGGGCGCCCCCUAGGGUAUGUCGCUUGCGUGGCGUGCUCAGGGGGGUCGCAGUGAAAGGGCUCUAGCGACUGUUUACUAAAAACACAGGUCUGUGCUAAGUCUAAAAGACGCCGUAUACAGACCGACACCUGCCCAAUGCCGGAAGGUUAAAGGGACGGGUUAGCCCCUUCGGGGGCGAAGCUCAGAACCGAAGCCCCGGUGAAUGGCGGCCGUAACUAUGACGGUCCUAAGGUAGCGAAGUUCCUUGUCGGGUAAGUUCCGACCCGCAUGAAUGGUGUAACGACUGGAGCGCUGUCUCAACCAGGGACUCGGCGAAAUUGCAGUGAAGGUGAAGAUACCUUCUACCCGCGGCUAGACGGAAAGACCCCGUGAAGCUUUACUGUAACCUAGUAUUGGGUCCUGCUACAGUAUGUGUAGGAUAGGUGGGAGGCGUUGACUAGUGGGCGCUAGCUCACUCUGAGCCAUCCUUGAAAUACCACCCUUAUUGUACUGGGAUUCUAACCUGUUGCCGUGAAUCCGGGACAGGAACCGUGCUAGGCGGGCAGUUUGACUGGGGCGGUCUCCUCCUAAAAGGUAACGGAGGAGUGCAAAGGCACCCUCAGUGCGGUUGGCAAUCGCACGUAGAGCGUAAAGGUAAAAGGGUGCUUGACUGCGAGACCUAUAAGUCAAGCAGACGUGAAAGCGGGCCUUAGUGAUCCGGCGGAUUCCAUGUGGAAGGGCCGUCGCUCAACAGAUAAAAGCUACUCCGGGGAUAACAGGCUGAUCUCCCCCAAGAGUCCAUAUCGACGGGGAGGUUUGGCACCUCGAUGUCGGCUCAUCGCGUCCUGGGGCUGUAGGAGGUCCCAAGGGUUCGGCUGUUCGCCGAUUAAUAGCGGUACGUGAGCUGGGUUUAGACCGUCGUGAGACAGGUCGGUCCCUAUCUACCGUGGGCGUAGGAGAUUUGAGAAGAGCUUCCCCUAGUACGAGAGGACUGGGGAGGACGAACCUCUGGUGUUCCAGUUGUCCCGUCAGGGGCAUCGCUGGGUAGCUAAGUUCGGACCGGAUAACCGCUGAAAGCAUCUAAGCGGGAAGCCGCAUUCAAGAUUAGAUCUCCCUGAAGACCCCUUGAAGACUACGAGGUUGAUAGGCCAGAUGUGUAAGGGCAGCAAUGCCUUCAGCUAACUGGUACUAACCGGUCGUUCGGCUUGACCAU